UAGAAGCGCGUUGCUGGCAGGUAUUAAUACAUGCAGUCGAGGGGUAACAUGAGAGCUUGCUCUUGAUGACGACCGGCGCACGGGUGCGUAACGCGUAUGCGACCUACCCACUACAGGGGGAUAGCCACUGGAAACAGUGAUUAAUACCCCAUAAUGAUUUUCAGUUGCCUGACUGGAUUUUUAAAGAUUUAUCGGUAGUGGAUGGGCAUGCGUAAGAUUAGCUAGUUGGUGGUGUAACGGACCACCAAGGCGACGAUCUUUAGCGGGUCUGAGAGGAUGAUCCGCCACACUGGUACUGAGACACGGACCAGACUCCUACGGGAGGCAGCAGUAGGGAAUAUUGGUCAAUGGGGGGAACCCUGAACCAGCCAUGCCGCGUGCAGGAAGACAGCCUUCUGGGUUGUAAACUGCUUUUAUCAGGGGGGAAUUGUCGGGAUGCGUCCCGAAGUUGACAGUACCUGAUGAAUAAGCACCGGCUAACUCCGUGCCAGCAGCCGCGGUAAUACGGAGGGUGCGAGCGUUGUCCGGAUUUAUUGGGUUUAAAGGGUGCGUAGGCGGAUUAAUAAGUCAGUGGUGAAAGUCUUAGGCUUAACCUAAGGAUUGCCAUUGAUACUGUUAGUCUUGAGUAAAGUCGAGGUAGGCGGAAUUUAUGGUGUAGCGGUGAAAUGCAUAGAUACCAUAAGGAACACCGAUAGCGCAGGCAGCUUACUAGACUAUAACUGACGCUGAGGCACGAAAGCGUGGGUAGCGAACAGGAUUAGAUACCCUGGUAGUCCACGCCGUAAACGAUGAUCACUCGAUGUAUGCGAUAUAUUGUAUGCGUCCCAGCGAAAGCGAUAAGUGAUCCACCUGGGGAGUACGCCGGCAACGGUGAAACUCACAUGAAUUUGACGG
Molecule: ribosomal RNA, 894 nt
Filed under: uncultured bacterium
Lineage: Bacteria
Description: bacterial SSU rRNA
Rfam family: Bacterial small subunit ribosomal RNA
Source: RNAcentral